CUGGGCUACACACGUGCUACAAUGGACAGAACAAAGGGCAGCGAAACCGCGAGGUUAAGCCAAUCCCACAAAUCUGUUCUCAGUUCGGAUCGCAGUCUGCAACUCGACUGCGUGAAGCUGGAAUCGCUAGUAAUCGCGGAUCAGCAUGCCGCGGUGAAUACGUUCCCGGGCCUUGUACACACCGCCCGUCACACCACGAGAGUUUGUAACACCCGAAGUCGGUGAGGUAACCUUUUAGGAGCCAGCCGCCGAAGGUGGGACAGAUGAUUGGGGUGAAGUCGUAACAAGGUAGCCGUAUCGGAAGGUGCGGUUGGAUCACCUC
This 322-nucleotide ribosomal RNA is filed under the name Bacillus subtilis. RNAcentral's name for it is "bacterial SSU rRNA". It matches the Rfam family "Bacterial small subunit ribosomal RNA", at positions 1209 to 1529 of the family's 1533-position model. Lineage: Bacteria; Bacillati; Bacillota; Bacilli; Caryophanales; Bacillaceae. The record is from RNAcentral.